CCCAUAGCAAGCCUAAAAUUUUAGUUCUGCAACCUGGGGCCCACAGACUGAAGACAUUAUACCAGAUAACCUAAAGCAAACUCAUUACAACAUCAAAAUCCUGCUUAAAAAGCAAGUAUAGAACUUACACAAUAUCUAUCUAUUAAAUCCAUCCAAAGUCUAUAAAUAACAUCAGUUUACUGCCCCAUAAAGCCCUUUUCAACAGAAAACAUUUCCUCAACGAUAAUCAGUCUCACAUGAACAUUCAUUGGUUCUGUCAAAUUAUGCAUGUCCCCUAAUCAGUACAC
Molecule: long non-coding RNA, 287 nt
Filed under: Manihot esculenta (cassava)
Lineage: Eukaryota; Viridiplantae; Streptophyta; Magnoliopsida; Malpighiales; Euphorbiaceae
Description: long non-coding RNA (MESC_LNC001089)
Source: RNAcentral